This 192-nucleotide ribosomal RNA is filed under the name uncultured bacterium. RNAcentral describes it as "partial 16S ribosomal RNA". It matches the Rfam family "Bacterial small subunit ribosomal RNA", at positions 1311 to 1500 of the family's 1533-position model. The record is from RNAcentral.
CUCGCCUACAUGAAGCUGGAGUUGCUAGUAAUCGCGAAUCAGCAUGUCGCGGUGAAUACGUUCCCGGGCCUUGUACACACCGCCCGUCACACCAUGAGAGUUGGCAAUACCCAACGUACGUGAUCUAACCCGCAAGGGAGGAAGCGUCCUAAGGUAGGGUCAGCGAUUGGGGUGAAGUCGUAACAAGGUACC